Molecule: ribosomal RNA, 252 nt
Filed under: uncultured bacterium
Lineage: Bacteria
Description: partial 16S ribosomal RNA
Rfam family: Bacterial small subunit ribosomal RNA
Source: RNAcentral
UACGUUGGGUGCGAGCGUUAAUCGGAAUUACUGGGCGUAAAGCGUGCGCAGGCGGCUCUGCAAGACAGGUGUGAAAUCCCCGGGCUUAACCUGGGAACUGCAUUUGUGACUGCAUGGCUGGAGUGCGGCAGAGGGGGAUGGAAUUCCGCAUGUAGCAGUGAAAUGCGUAGAUAUGCGGAGGAACACCGAUGGCGAAGGCAGUCCCCUGGGCCUGCACUGACGCUCAUGCACAAAAGCGUGGGGAGCAAACAG